This 817-nucleotide ribosomal RNA is filed under the name uncultured Cellulophaga sp. RNAcentral describes it as "bacterial SSU rRNA". It matches the Rfam family "Bacterial small subunit ribosomal RNA", at positions 45 to 863 of the family's 1533-position model. The record is from RNAcentral. Lineage: Bacteria; Pseudomonadati; Bacteroidota; Flavobacteriia; Flavobacteriales; Flavobacteriaceae.
GGCCUAACACAUGCAAGUCGAGGGGUAACAGGGAGCUUGCUCCGCUGACGACCGGCGCACGGGUGCGCAACGCGUAUGCAAUCUACCUCUUACUAAGGGAUAGCCCAGAGAAAUUUGGAUUAAUAUCUUAUGUGAUAUGUGACUGGCAUCGGUUACAUAUUAAAGGUUACGGUAAGAGAUGAGCAUGCGUCUCAUUAGUUAGUUGGUAAGGUAACGGCUUACCAAGACUUCGAUGAGUAGGGGUCCUGAGAGGGAGAUCCCCCACACUGGUACUGAGACACGGACCAGACUCCUACGGGAGGCAGCAGUGAGGAAUAUUGGACAAUGGACGGAAGUCUGAUCCAGCCAUGCCGCGUGUAGGAAGACUGCCCUAUGGGUUGUAAACUACUUUUAUACAGGAAGAAUAAGAUCUACGUGUAGAUUGAUGACGGUACUGUAAGAAUAAGGACCGGCUAACUCCGUGCCAGCAGCCGCGGUAAUACGGAGGGUCCGAGCGUUAUCCGGAAUUAUUGGGUUUAAAGGGUCCGUAGGCGGGCUGUUAAGUCAGAGGUGAAAUGCUGCGGCUCAACCGUAUGCACUGCCUUUGAUACUGGCGGUCUUGAGUUAUAGUGAAGUGGCUAGAAUAAGUAGUGUAGCGGUGAAAUGCAUAGAUAUUACUUAGAAUACCGAUUGCGAAGGCAGGUCACUAACUAUACACUGACGCUGAUGGACGAAAGCGUGGGUAGCGAACAGGAUUAGAUACCCUGGUAGUCCACGCCGUAAACGAUGGAUACUAGCUGUUCGGUUUUCGGACUGAGCGGCCAAGCGAAAGUGAUAA